AGUGAACGCUGGCGGCAGGCCUAACACAUGCAAGUCGAGCGGCAGCGCGUCCGACCACCCUCGGGUGGUCGGAUGGCGGCGAGCGGCGGACGGGUGAGGAAUGCAUCGGAAUCUGCCUCGUUGUGGGGGAUAACGUAGGGAAACUUACGCUAAUACCGCAUACGACCUACGGGUGAAAGUGGGGGACCUUCGGGCCUCACGCGAUGAGAUGAGCCGAUGCCGGAUUGGCUAGUUGGCGGGGUAAAGGCCCACCAAGGCGACGAUCCGUAGCUGGUCUGAGAGGAUGAUCAGCCACACUGGAACUGAGACACGGUCCAGACUCCUACGGGAGGCAGCAGUGGGGAAUAUUGGACAAUGGGGGCAACCCUGAUCCAGCCAUGCCGCGUGUGUGAAGAAGGCC
Molecule: ribosomal RNA, 400 nt
Filed under: uncultured bacterium
Lineage: Bacteria
Description: bacterial SSU rRNA
Rfam family: Bacterial small subunit ribosomal RNA
Source: RNAcentral